AAACAACUCUCAGCAACGGAUAUCUUGGCUCUUGCAACGAUGAAGAACGCAGCGAAAUGCGAUACGUAGUGUGAAUUGCAGAAUUCCGCGAAUCAUCGAAUCUUUGAACGCAAGUUGCGCCCGAGGCUUGACCAAGGGCAUUUCUGCCAGAGCGUCACC
This 159-nucleotide ribosomal RNA is filed under the name Tortula subulata. Its description in RNAcentral is "5.8S ribosomal RNA". It matches the Rfam family "5.8S ribosomal RNA". From Rfam's summary of the family: 5.8S ribosomal RNA (5.8S rRNA) is a component of the large subunit of the eukaryotic ribosome. Lineage: Eukaryota; Viridiplantae; Streptophyta; Bryopsida; Pottiales; Pottiaceae. The record is from RNAcentral.